This is a long non-coding RNA of Molossus molossus (Pallas's mastiff bat), 284 nucleotides long. RefSeq lists it as uncharacterized. The record is from RefSeq and is a predicted model, not a curated record. The transcript has 3 exons. Lineage: Eukaryota; Metazoa; Chordata; Mammalia; Chiroptera; Molossidae.
CUACUAUGUGCUAGACAAAGUUCUGAGUGAUGCUAAUACAGUAGUGAACUAGGCAGAAGACAAAAAUCCCCAUUCUCAUAGAGUUUACAUUCUAGUGCGGCGACAUAGACAAUGAAAAUCAAAGAAAUAGUUUUGUUGAUGGUGAGAAGUGUUAAGAAAAAUAAAACAGGGAAGGUAGAUAGGGAGUACUACAGGAGAUUACAAGUUUAGAAAGAAUGCCCAGGGAAAGCCUCAGUAUAAAAGUGACAUUUGAGCCCUGGCCAGUUUGGCUCAGCGGUUAGAGC